CCUAAGGUAGCGAAAUUCCUUGUCGGGUAAGUUCCGACCUGCACGAAUGGCAUAAUGAUGGCCAGGCUGUCUCCACCCGAGACUCAGUGAAAUUGAAAUCGCCGUGAAGAUGCGGUGUACCCGCGGCUAGACGGAAAGACCCCGUGAACCUUUACUAUAGCUUGACACUGAACAUUGAAUUUUGAUGUGUAGGAUAGGUGGGAGACUUAGAAGAUGAUACGCCAGUAUUGUUGGAGUCGUCCUUGAAAUACCACCCUUUAACGUUUGAUGUUCUAACGAAGAUUACGAAACGUGGUCUCGGACAGUGUCUGGUGGGUAGUUUGACUGGGGCGGUCUCCUCCCAAAGAGUAACGGAGGAGCACGAAGGUUUGCUAAUGACGGUCGGACAUCGUCAGGUUAGUGCAAUGGUAUAAGCAAGCUUAACUGCGAGACAGACAAGUCGAGCAGGUACGAAAGUAGGUCAUAGUGAUCCGGUGGUUCUGAAUGGAAGGGCCAUCGCUCAACGGAUAAAAGGUACUCCGGGGAUAACAGGCUGAUACCGCCCAAGAGUUCAUAUCGACGGCGGUGUUUGGCACCUCGAUGUCGGCUCAUCACAUCCUGGGGCUGAAGUAGGUCCCAAGGGUAUGGCUGUUCGCCAUUUAAAGUGGUACGCGAGCUGGGUUUAGAACGUCGUGAGACAGUUCGGUCCCUAUCUGCCGUGGGCGUUGGAGAAUUGAUUGGGGCUGCUCCUAGUACGAGAGGACCGGAGUGGACGCACCACUGGUGUUCCGGUUGUGUCGCCAGACGCAUUGCCGGGUAGCUAAGUGCGGAAGAGAUAAGUGCUGAAAGCAUCUAAGCACGAAACUUGCCAAGAGAUGAGUUCUCCCAGAUUUAAAAUCUGUAAGGGUUGUUUAAGACUAAGACGUAGAUAGGUCUGGUGUGUAAGCGGUGCGAGCCGUUGAGCUAACAGAUACUAAUUGCCCGAGAGGCUUAACUAU
Molecule: ribosomal RNA, 977 nt
Filed under: human gut metagenome
Description: bacterial LSU rRNA
Rfam family: Bacterial large subunit ribosomal RNA
Source: RNAcentral